RNAcentral lists this transfer RNA (67 nucleotides) under Gunungiella acanthoclada. RNAcentral describes it as "tRNA-Val". The record is from RNAcentral. Lineage: Eukaryota; Metazoa; Arthropoda; Insecta; Trichoptera; Philopotamidae.
CAAAUUAGAUUUAAACAAAAAUUUUAUUUACAUUAAAAUAUAAACUGUGUGAUUCGGUUUAAUUUGA